Molecule: ribosomal RNA, 766 nt
Filed under: uncultured Dolichospermum sp.
Lineage: Bacteria; Bacillati; Cyanobacteriota; Cyanophyceae; Nostocales; Aphanizomenonaceae
Description: bacterial SSU rRNA
Rfam family: Bacterial small subunit ribosomal RNA
Source: RNAcentral
CGAAGGCGUUCUGCUAGCCCGAGACUGACACUCAGGGACGAAAGCUAGGGGAGCGAAUGGGAUUAGAUACCCCAGUAGUCCUAGCCGUAAACGAUGGAUACUAGGCGUAGCUCGUAUCCACCCGAGCUCUGCCGGAGCUAACGCGUUAAGUAUCCCCUGGGGAGUACGCAGGCAACUGUGAAACUCAAAGGAAUUGACAGGGGCCCGCACAAGCGGUGGAGUAUGUGGUUUAAUUCGAUGCAACGCGAAGAACCUUACCAAGGCUUGACAUGUCACGAAUCCUGUGGAAACAUAGGAGUGCCUUCGGGAGCGUGAACACAGGUGGUGCAUGGAGCGUCAGCCGUGUCGUGAGAUGUUGGGUUAAGUCCCGCAACGAGCACAACCAUCGUAGUUAGUUGCCAGCAUUAAGUUGGGCACUCAAGAGAGACUGCCGGGUGACAAACCGGGAGGAAGGUGGGGAUGACGUCAAGUCAGCAUGCCCCUAAGUCUUGGGCUACACACGUACUACAAUGCAGACGCACAAAGGAGCAGCAACGACAGCGAUGGGAUGCGAAUCUCAUAAACACGUAGCUCAGUUCAGAUCGUAGGCCGCAACUCGCUCGUGCGUGAAGAAGGAAUCGCUAGUAUUGCAGUCAGCAGACAUGCAGUGAUCGGUUCCGAGCCUUGUACACACCCGCCGUCACACCAAUGCAGUGGUUCACGCCCGAGUUCGGUACCCACCACGUAACGAGGGGAGGACCUAAGUAGACUGAUGAUCUGGCGUUGU